Molecule: unclassified non-coding RNA, 166 nt
Filed under: uncultured Chaetomiaceae
Lineage: Eukaryota; Fungi; Ascomycota; Sordariomycetes; Sordariales
Description: sequence contains ITS1
Source: RNAcentral
CAGAGUUGCAAAACUCCAAACCAUUGUGAACUUACCUUCGCCGUUGCUUCGGCGGGCGGCCCGGGCCCUGCCCGGCGCCCCUCGGCCCCUCUCGGGGCGCCCGCCGGAGGUAAACCAAACUCUUGAAUUGUAUGGCCUCUCUGAGUCUUCUGUACUGAAUAAGUCA